GAGUUUGAUCCUGGCUCAGGAUGAACGCUGGCGGCGUGCUUAACACAUGCAAGUCGAACGAAGCACUUUGGACAGAUUCUUCGGAUGAAGUCCUUAGUGACUGAGUGGCGGACGGGUGAGUAACGCGUGGGUAACCUGCCUCAUACAGGGGGAUAACAGUUAGAAAUGGCUGCUAAUACCGCAUAAGCGCACAGAGCUGCAUGGCUCGGUGUGAAAAACUCCGGUGGUAUAAGAUGGACCCGCGUUGGAUUAGCUAGUUGGUGAGGUAACGGCCCACCAAGGCGACGAUUGGUAGCCGGACUGAGAGGUUGAACGGCCACAUUGGGACUGAGACACGGCCCAGACUCCUACGGGAAGCAGCAGUGGGGGAUAUUGCACAAUGGGGGAAACCCUGAUGCAGCGACGCCGCGUGGAGGAAGAAGGUUUUCGGAUUGUAAACUCCUGUCGUUAGGGACGAUAAUGACGGUACCUAACAAGAAAGCACCGGCUAACUACGUGCCAGCCGCCGCGGUAAUAC
This 517-nucleotide ribosomal RNA is filed under the name uncultured bacterium. RNAcentral's name for it is "bacterial SSU rRNA". It matches the Rfam family "Bacterial small subunit ribosomal RNA", at positions 9 to 526 of the family's 1533-position model. The record is from RNAcentral.